Molecule: ribosomal RNA, 483 nt
Filed under: uncultured Persicirhabdus sp.
Lineage: Bacteria; Pseudomonadati; Verrucomicrobiota; Verrucomicrobiia; Verrucomicrobiales; Verrucomicrobiaceae
Description: bacterial SSU rRNA
Rfam family: Bacterial small subunit ribosomal RNA
Source: RNAcentral
AAUGAACGCUGGCGGCGUGGAUAAGACAUGCAAGUCGAACGGAAAACACAAUAGCUUGCUAAUGUGUUUUUAGUGGCGGACGGGUUAGUAACACGUGAGCAACCUGCCUCGAAGCGGGGGAUAGCCUUCCGAAAGGGAGAUUAAUACCGCAUAUGGUCUACGGAUCAAAGACUGCUUCGGCAGUCACUUCGAGAUGGGCUCGCGGCCUAUCAGCUAGUUGGUGAGGUAAAGGCUCACCAAGGCAACGACGGGUAGCUGGUCUGAGAGGAUGAUCAGCAACACUGGAACUGAGACACGGUCCAGACACCUACGGGUGGCAGCAGUCGAGAAUCAUUCACAAUGGACGAAAGUCUGAUGGUGCAACGCCGCGUGGAGGAUGAAGGACCUAGGUUCGUAAACUCCUGUCAUAUAAGAGUAAGGCAUAUUAGGUUAAGAGCUAAAUAUGUUUGAUAGUAUUAUAAGAGGAAGGGACGGCUAACUUCG